CAUAGGUUAAUGAGGCGAACCGGGGGAACUGAAACAUCUAAGUACCCCGAGGAAAAGAAAUCAACCGAGAUUCCCCCAGUAGCGGCGAGCGAACGGGGAGGAGCCCAGAGCCUGAAUCAGUGUGUGUGUUAGUGGAAGCGUCUGGAAAGGCGCGCGAUACAGGGUGACAGCCCCGUACACAAAAAUGCACAUGCUGUGAGCUCGAUGAGUAGGGCGGGACACGUGGUAUCCUGUCUGAAUAUGGGGGGACCAUCCUCCAAGGCUAAAUACUCCUGACUGACCGAUAGUGAACCAGUACCGUGAGGGAAAGGCGAAAAGAACCCCGGCGAGGGGAGUGAAAAAGAACCUGAAACCGUGUACGUACAAGCAGUGGGAGCCUCUUAAUGGGGUGACUGCGUACCUUUUGUAUAAUGGGUCAGCGACUUAUAUUCUGUAGCAAGGUUAACCGAAUAGGGGAGCCGAAGGGAAACCGAGUCUUAACUGGGCGUUAAGUUGCAGGGUAUAGACCCGAAACCCGGUGAUCUAGCCAUGGGCAGGUUGAAGGUUGGGUAACACUAACUGGAGGACCGAACCGACUAAUGUUGAAAAAUUAGCGGAUGACUUGUGGCUGGGGGUGAAAGGCCAAUCAAACCGGGAGAUAGCUGGUUCUCCCCGAAAGCUAUUUAGGUAGCGCCUCGUGAAUUCAUCUCCGGGGGUAGAGCACUGUUUCGGCAAGGGGGUCAUCCCGACUUACCAACCCGAUGCAAACUGCGAAUACCGGAGAAUGUUAUCACGGGAGACACACGGCGGGUGCUAACGUCCGUCGUGAAGAGGGAAACAACCCAGACCGCCAGCUAAGGUCCCAAAGUCAUGGUUAAGUGGGAAACGAUGUGGGAAGGCCCAGACAGCCAGGAUGUUGGCUUAGAAGCAGCCAUCAUUUAAAGAAAGCGUAAUAGCUCACUGGUCGAGUCGGCCUGCGCGGAAGAUGUAACGGGGCUAAACCAUGCACCGAAGCUGCGGCAGCGACACUAUGUGUUGUUGGGUAGGGGAGCGUUCUGUAAGCCUGUGAAGGUGGCCUGUGAGGGUUGCUGGAGGUAUCAGAAGUGCGAAUGCUGACAUAAGUAACGAUAAAGCGGGUGAAAAGCCCGCUCGCCGGAAGACCAAGGGUUCCUGUCCAACGUUAAUCGGGGCAGGGUGAGUCGACCCCUAAGGCGAGGCCGAAAGGCGUAGUCGAUGGGAAACAGGUUAAUAUUCCUGUACUUGGUGUUACUGCGAAGGGGGGACGGAGAAGGCUAUGUUGGCCGGGCGACGGUUGUCCCGGUUUAAGCGUGUAGGCUGGUUUUCCAGGCAAAUCCGGAAAACCAAGGCUGAGGCGUGAUGACGAGGCACUACGGUGCUGAAGUGACAAAUGCCCUGCUUCCAGGAAAAGCCUCUAAGCAUCAGGUAACAUCAAAUCGUACCCCAAACCGACACAGGUGGUCAGGUAGAGAAUACCAAGGCGCUUGAGAGAACUCGGGUGAAGGAACUAGGCAAAAUGGUGCCGUAACUUCGGGAGAAGGCACGCUGAUAUGUAGGUGAAGCGACUUGCUCGUGGAGCUGAAAUCAGUCGAAGAUACCAGCUGGCUGCAACUGUUUAUUAAAAACACAGCACUGUGCAAACACGAAAGUGGACGUAUACGGUGUGACGCCUGCCCGGUGCCGGAAGGUUAAUUGAUGGGGUUAGCGGUAACGCGAAGCUCUUGAUCGAAGCCCCGGUAAACGGCGGCCGUAACUAUAACGGUCCUAAGGUAGCGAAAUUCCUUGUCGGGUAAGUUCCGACCUGCACGAAUGGCGUAAUGAUGGCCAGGCUGUCUCCACCCGAGACUCAGUGAAAUUGAACUCGCUGUGAAGAUGCAGUGUACCCGCGGCAAGACGGAAAGACCCCGUGAACCUUUACUAUAGCUUGACACUGAACAUUGAGCCUUGAUGUGUAGGAUAGGUGGGAGGCUUUGAAGUGUGGACGCCAGUCUGCAUGGAGCCGACCUUGAAAUACCACCCUUUAAUGUUUGAUGUUCUAACGUUGGCCCCUAAUCGGGGUUGCGGACAGUGUCUGGUGGGUAGUUUGACUGGGGCGGUCUCCUCCUAAAGAGUAACGGAGGAGCACGAAGGUUGGCUAAUCCUGGUCGGACAUCAGGAGGUUAGUGCAAUGGCAUAAGCCAGCUUGACUGCGAGCGUGACGGCGCGAGCAGGUGCGAAAGCAGGUCAUAGUGAUCCGGUGGUUCUGAAUGGAAGGGCCAUCGCUCAACGGAUAAAAGGUACUCCGGGGAUAACAGGCUGAUACCGCCCAAGAGUUCAUAUCGACGGCGGUGUUUGGCACCUCGAUGUCGGCUCAUCACAUCCUGGGGCUGAAGUAGGUCCCAAGGGUAUGGCUGUUCGCCAUUUAAAGUGGUACGCGAGCUGGGUUUAGAACGUCGUGAGACAGUUCGGUCCCUAUCUGCCGUGGGCGCUGGAGAACUGAGGGGGGCUGCUCCUAGUACGAGAGGACCGGAGUGGACGCAUCACUGGUGUUCGGGUUGUCAUGCCAAUGGCACUGCCCGGUAGCUAAAUGCGGAAGAGAUAAGUGCUGAAAGC
Molecule: ribosomal RNA, 2589 nt
Filed under: Escherichia coli
Lineage: Bacteria; Pseudomonadati; Pseudomonadota; Gammaproteobacteria; Enterobacterales; Enterobacteriaceae
Description: partial 23S ribosomal RNA
Rfam family: Bacterial large subunit ribosomal RNA
Source: RNAcentral